RNAcentral lists this ribosomal RNA (303 nucleotides) under uncultured bacterium. RNAcentral's name for it is "partial 16S ribosomal RNA". It matches the Rfam family "Bacterial small subunit ribosomal RNA", at positions 507 to 808 of the family's 1533-position model. The record is from RNAcentral.
AGCAGUCGCCACGGUAAUACGUAGGUGGCAAGCGUUGUCCGGAAUUAUUGGGCGUAAAGCGCGCGCAGGCGGAUCAGUCAGUCUGUCUUAAAAGUUCGGGGCUUAACCCCGUGAUGGGAUGGAAACUGCUGAUCUAGAGUAUCGGAGAGGAAAGUGGAAUUCCUAGUGUAGCGGUGAAAUGCGUAGAUAUUAGGAAGAACACCAGUGGCGAAGGCGACUUUCUGGACGAAAACUGACGCUGAGGCGCGAAAGCCAGGGGAGCGAACGGGAUUAGAUACCCCCGUAGUCCCUGUCUCUUAUACC